Molecule: transfer RNA, 76 nt
Filed under: Patescibacteria group bacterium
Lineage: Bacteria
Also listed under: 1 other name
Description: tRNA-Ala
Rfam family: tRNA
About the family: Transfer RNA (tRNA) molecules are approximately 80 nucleotides in length. Their secondary structure includes four short double-helical elements and three loops (D, anti-codon, and T loops).
Source: RNAcentral
GGGCCCUUAGCUCAUCUGGUAGAGCGCCUCGUUUGCAACGAGGAGGCGACCGGUUCGAUCCCGGUAGGGUCCACCA